AUUCGGGCAUCCUUCCCUGCCAUCAGUACCUCAGUAACAUGCACCUUGGGAUCUGGACAUAAAAAUAGAAGGAAAUGAGGCGGAGAAAUCCCAGACGUCUAAACAAGAUAAGAUCAAGAAGAGGCAGAAUUAGAAACAGAUGAAAUGUAAGAUCUGUGGAACUUGAAAUCCCACCCUGAGGUGCAGGGUCCCGACUCCACCUUUAUGGAAAAAGAAAAAGAAAAACAGUUAAGAAUAGGUAAACUUGGCAUUUCUGCAGUGAGCUGCUGAUGACUGUCCUGUGUCAACUGUAUUUGGAACUUUCAUGGGCCAAGAAAUGUCUCUUUUUUUUCCAAAUUGAAAGUGCAACAUUUUCACUUUUAUUUCUGACUUCAGUUUCACUUAAUUUCUGCCUGUUGAUGUGUGCAGUUUGGAUUUCAACAUGAGCCUCUCUCUUUACUGUGCUCGUGUGCAGUUUCAUGAACACUGUCAAUGUGCAGAUACAUUGGGAUUCCAGGGGACAGGAAGGGAGACAGCAGUGGAUCUGAGAAUCUUAGCAACAGUGAGAAGCCAGGAACUGCCCUGUCCGCAAGGAAAGGAAAGGAAGGAGGUCCAGGCACUCGCUGCUCCACAGGGAGAACAGAGAGCCUUAAACUGGAGUCAAGUUGAUGAGGAAAAUGGUGGGGGACAGAGAAGGCGGGCUUUUCUCACAUCCGGCAGGCUUUUGUUUACUUAUUUAUCUGUUUGCAAACUUGUGAUGUGUUUAUCAAUGAUGAUAGAGAUAUAGAAAACAGAAGACCUUGGACUUGACACAGGACUGGUCUCAAGUGAUGCUGUGUUUGCGUCCCUCCUUCACAAACCUCUCUGAUGUGCUGGCCAGGGGUAAGCUGGGUAACGCCCCUCCCUCCUCCUGCCCUGAGGUCAGUGCCCUGACUCCUGGAACCUGCCAACAUGUGAACUUUCAGAGCCAAAGUACUUCGCAGUGUGAGCCUGGACUGAGGCUUCUGAGCCGAGGAAGUGAUGCUGAGUGACUGGUGCAGGGGUCUCCCAGGGUCCUUACCUGGGGGAGGCAGGAGCAGGUGCGGAGAAGGCAGUGCAGUGACGGCAGCCUCCAUGGCCUAAUGACAGCAAGGAAACGUGUUCUUGUAGAGCCUCAGGGGCCAGCGCCCCUCAGACUGUGAUUUCAGCCCAGUGAGACUGACCAUCAGACUGUACGAAGAUAAAUUUGUGUUGUUUCACGCCACUAUGUUUGCUGGACAACAUGGAAAUAAUGGAGAGGCUAAAAAAAUCCGUGAAUAUCUGAACACUUAUUCUUACAUUUAUCCUCACGACCAUGUCAGGAGGUGUGUACUAUCAUUUUUAUUGUUCCAUACACGAGAGAAACAAGGCUUAGAGGGAUAACACAGCAGGUAAACGGCGCCAAGAUGCAACGCCUGGCCCAGCCCACAUGUCUGCCUACAAUCUGUUUCCUGACCUCAGGCUAAGGCUUCCUCUCUGCAACCAAGAGCCUUCCACUGAUGAAUGCUGAUGUCAUUCUGCUUUCUUUCUUGGUUAAAUAGUCACAAUGUUAAGCUUUUUAGCAUACGUGAUAUUUUGUGGUUGCUUUGAAUUGUGAUGACUUGAGGUUUAUGAAAUGAGACCUCAAGAAACCGCCCACGUGCAUUUAAGCAGCACACGAAGCUCAAGUCCAGUUUUCCACCUCAACAGCCUGCUCCCGCGACCAUGCAGGACUUUGUCUAGGAUCCCAACCGUCACAAACUCCAUUUCUCCCUGUCAGCCCUCCCUCCUGCUCCCUGCACGGCAGCCUCAGGGACGCCCAAAAUUUGUUUUGUGGGAUGAAGUCCAACAGCUGACACUCUGCCCUCCACGAAUUCACACGUCCCACUGUUUGAGCUGAGUCACUCCUCCACACACAUGCCUGCAUUCGAUAACCUGGGUCCAUUCAAUUCUGUUUCACUUUCACUCUGGACACCGAGGGAAGGGAGCCAGAGUGUGUCCCAUCCAAGUGUUCACAGACACGGCCGAUGCCUUUCCUUUCCCCCUAAGACUUCUGCAUAUUUUACAAUGAUGGCUCCAGCCUUCCAGAACUUUCUAGUCUCCUCAAGUCCUUUCUGAUGACAGGACGCCUCUGUUCUUAGCCCCUCUCAACUUUAGGGUGAUUCUAUCUGCAAUUCUCAGAGUCUGAGAAGGGUACACCACGCACCACCCAGACCCAACCCAAGUAACCCCAUGACAGGGCUGGGUUUCUGCUCCAACUUCUCAGUUCCUUGCUCCUCAGUCUUGUGUCUUCGCCUCUGUUCCAUCAGCACAGGGACUGCUGUUCACCCCCUAACAGUCUCAAGUCACUUCCAUUUAAAACUAAACGGUCUCCCACUCCAUCUCACGCCUCCUCUUUUUGGCCCGAUUCCCUCUUGUCUACACUCUAUGUCUACACCUCCUCACUCCUCCAAGUCCUCGGGCCCCUUUCCUCUGGAGCUACCCUGAACCUGCUCUGAGGUCACCGGGGAUGCCCCAGUGACUGGAAAUCCGGGCAAUACUCUUUCAGUCCAUGAUCCACUCACCACUCUCCAACACUGGGAAGGCUUUAGCCACUGCCUCUUUCCAAGGAGCCUCUGCCCCCUCGGUUCCAGUUAAAUCUGUUCCUCUUCCUGCCUUCUCUCUUGGGACUCAUGGAACUGUUACCCCAAAAGGGAAAGGGAAAAGACCCCAGCUCUUGUCACACCUGAAAGAUAAGAUAACAGACAGGAGACAGCGUUGUGCAGCAAAAGAUUUCACAGGAUUUACUCAGGAAAAGGAAAAGCACUCCUCCGAGAACCGGGGGUGGGCGGGUCCAGGGCAGACAGCAAUGGUCUUUGUCUCCCUUCCUCCGCUACCCUCGCUUACAGGUGGUCUCUUGACUGGCUGACGGCUCUUGCCCCAGAGUGCUCAGUCGUGCCCGGCCCCAGGGAGCAUGUCCUUACGCAUGAUGCACACAGAAAAACCCAAGGAGGGGGGGCUAAACUGCAAUGCUAAUUGUAUUACGGUGAGCACUGGGUCACGUCUGGUUGGGUCCUUCUGGCUACCCCACAGUCUCCACCCUUGGGUUCUAACCAGUUUCUUGCUGGCACUCGUUUAGAGGAAGUAAAGACCCUUUAUGCUGCAGGCGGGGACACUGCCGUCUUCCAGACCCUCCUCCCUCUCCUCCACCUGUCUGCCCGGUACCCCCACUUAUCUAACUGCCUAACAGUCAUCAGGUAACAACUGUUCAAACAGAAGCGUGGGGACCAUGGCUGCACCUUCACUCAAACCCCAGUGAACCUGAGCCCCUGACACUGAUGGAAUCAUCACGCCUCGAGCCAGCAUCACCUUCUCACCUGGAUUUGUGGAGCAGCCUCUCCCUGCCUGACUGCGGUUUGCUCCUCCAACCCACUCCACCUGCUGUGGGGCCACCAGCGAGUGUGCAGAGCAGAGCCCAUCUAGUCCCUGCUGACCGGGCUUCAGUGCUGUUCUGCAACCCAAAGCAUGGAAAGGCGGUUCUUUUCAGAGCUCACUCCUCCACCAAGUGACAGUUCGUGCAUCCCCUGUGAAGACCGUGAGGGCCCCGAGGGCGCAUGGAGCCUGGUAUAAAGUCUUCCUGCUCUGGCCGCUCCUUUAGGACUUCAUCCUCCUGUGAAGGGCCCCGUGUACGUGGAAAGCCUCAGCACACCUGCCACGCUUUUCUCCUUGCUCAUCUGUCUUCUGUGCGUUUACUUCUUAGCCAGAGACCCCAGGAGGGGGAGGAGGGCUUGUCCUCUGCUGCGGCAGCUGUGCAAAGCCAGGCCUCACAAGACGAGACCCUAACAUCGGCGUGAACUUAGUGGUGACUCAGACUCUUAGGGAGCAGGACAAACGCCUCCCCAGGAAGCAAAGUAGAUCCUUGAGGAGGAGGGAGAGAACCAGGAAACGUGAACUCAGAGGUGCCCACCCUUGUGGCCACUAAAGGCAGUUGGGGGUCUGAGUGGCAAGGGUGAGGCGGGAUUUUAGCUUCCCCGAUGCCUGUGGCUAUGGUGACACCUCCAGGCCCAUGUGCUGCUCUGUAACUUAAAUAAGAGCUCUGGGAAGAGCCCAUAGGUCCUCUUAAUUAAACCAAUUCAUCUGGCCACCAGGGGCAUAUGGACCCUCAAAGUCCCACUGAAAUCUUCCUUCGAGAGCGCAGCACGGUUUUCUGAGAAGAGACUUGAACGUCACGGUGGUAACGCCUGGAGCUCCACGGGGACGCAGCAUGUGCUGGGGGCGGGGGAGGUUGUCCUGGGGCUGCGUGCUCGCGGAGGUGUCUGUCACCUUGCUUUAUACGUGGUCUCUGCAAAGGAAAGGCCCCCCCAGAGCUCUUUACCCCAGAGGGUGUGGAUUCUGAUGGGGACGGACCUGACAGCAUUCGGUGCAGGGCCCCACCUCAGGUGGACUGACUAGCAGGUCACAGCAUCAGUCAGGUUAAAUAAAAUCAGUAAAUGCAGAACGUGUUGUCUCCAGAACCAUGCAGAACUAAAAGUUGUCAGACUUACAUCGAUAGUCCGGACGCUGGAGGGACAACAGCCAGGUCUUGACGUUGUCAGCAGUGGAGCAGUCCUCAGUUCACCCAACAAUCCUAGGGGAUUUCACCCGGGUGGGGGUUAGGGGCUUCCUCUGGACCAGGCACGUUGCCAGCAUCCAUGUGUCCAGAAUGAGCACUUGCAUGAACACCUGGAGCUGCUCAGAGGAUGAUAUUACCUGUGCAACAUCACCCCUGGGCUCUGGAGGAAGGUGGGGAUGGGGGGGGUUGAGACCUCCCCUGCAGAGUGUGUGCAGCUGUGAGGCUGCCGACCCCGGGGAGCCCAGCAGAGGCGCGUGGAGUCCCUCCAGAGACAAAGGCAUACCGAGGCCACACAGAACAGAUGUGCCAUUUCUGUAACAGUGACUUCCAAAUGGGCUGCUGGCAGAGCGGUGGGUACCAUGGUGUGGAGGGGCUGGGAUCCACUGUGGGGGCUGUUAACGCUCCUCCAGUUGAGAACACACCAAAGUGGGUUAGUACCUAGGGAAGAAGUGAGGAUAACGAGACCUUCAUUCAUUAGGCCUUAUGGUUAAAUUCCUGAAAAUUAUUUGUCAAAAAUGUAACAAUUUAGGGGGAGGGUAUAGCUCAGUGGUAGUGUGUGCUUAGCAUGAAGGAGGUCCUGUGUUCCAUCCUCAGUACUUCUGUUUAAAAAAAAAGAAAAGAAAAGAGUGUAACAAUUUAAUAUGAUACUGCUUCAUGUUUUGUUACUUUUCCUCUGAUUAGGGU
Long non-coding RNA from Camelus dromedarius (Arabian camel), 5251 nucleotides. RefSeq lists it as uncharacterized. The transcript has 2 exons. The record is from RefSeq and is a predicted model, not a curated record. Lineage: Eukaryota; Metazoa; Chordata; Mammalia; Artiodactyla; Camelidae.